CUGAUAAAUUAUUAAAGGGCUGCAGUAUUUUGACUGUACAAAGGUAGCAUAAUCAUUAGUCUCUUAAUUGGUGACUUGUAUGAAAGAUUGGAUGAAAUAUAAUCUGUCUCUAAUUUAUAUAAAGAAUUUAAUUUUUUAGUUAAAAAGCUAAAAUAUAUUUAAAAGACGAGAAGACCCUAUAGAGUUUUAUAUUAAAAUUAAUUAAGAUUAUAUUUUAAAUUAAUAAUUGAAAUUAUUUUAAAUAUUUUAUUGGGGUGAUAGAAAAAUAUAAUUAACUUUUUUUAGUUUUAUACAUAAAUAAGUGAAUAAAUGAUCCAAAAUUUUUGAUUAUAAGAAAAAAUUACCUUAGGGAUAACAGCGUAAUUUUUUUUUUUAGUUCAAAUAAGAAAAAGAGUUUGCGACCUCGAUGUUGGAUUAAGAUAAAAUUUAUAUGCAAAAGUAUAAAAUUUUGAUCUGUUCGAUC
Molecule: ribosomal RNA, 463 nt
Filed under: Emphylica xanthocrossa
Lineage: Eukaryota; Metazoa; Arthropoda; Insecta; Lepidoptera; Crambidae
Description: partial 16S ribosomal RNA
Source: RNAcentral